Molecule: long non-coding RNA, 776 nt
Organism: Orbicella faveolata
Lineage: Eukaryota; Metazoa; Cnidaria; Anthozoa; Scleractinia; Merulinidae
Source: RefSeq, a predicted model, not a curated record
CUGAGAUCAGGCGCUAUAAAUUUACCAAGGUGACUCAAAAUUUCUAUCCCGAAACUUGAAUUACUUGAUUGGCAUUUAAAACGUAAGGUAACAUCAAGUUUAUAAUGAGUUUGAAGUUCUUCGCCUUCCUUUCGCUUGCAAUACUUGUUUCUUUUACCGUGGCUUUGCCAUACCAUAAAGCAAACUUUGCCACAACACUUGGGAAAAGCGGUUACUUUAAAGCGGAGCCUAAAGAAGAGAAACGAGCUCCAUGUGCCAAUACCCGAGAUGAUUACUACUGCUUUUUAGAGUCGGUGUAUGAGAAUGCGUGCGAUACUUCACCAGCUGAGAUGAAGCAAAAAUGUUCGUUAACUUGCGACUUUUGUUGACCCACUUUAUCAGAAGAAAAAGGAAGCCGUGAAAGCUUAGUGAAAAGUUAAUUGCCUAGAACAUUUUGACACGUACUGUACCUGCGGAGCUGAUAUUGUGUUGUCAAACCACUUAAUUAAGUGCAAUAACAGUGAUAAAAUAACUAGUUUCGUUGCUUGCAUUUGUAAUGGGAAUGCAGAUAGUUAGCUUCUUAAAGAGCAGCUUAAAACACUUAGUUAAUUGUCGACUUUGAAGAUGCAUUGCGUACCAACUGAGGAUUUUUAAGGAUUCAUGGAGUUUAACGACAAUAAACAAUUUUUUUUUCAUUUGUGUUACCUUGAUAAUCAUUCAUGAAAAGCCGUAAGCGAAAGAAAACAUAUGUAACUAGCUACGCCAUCAUAUAAAAUAAACGGAAAAAACAAGACUUA